RNAcentral lists this transfer RNA (70 nucleotides) under Acropyga butteli. RNAcentral describes it as "tRNA-Phe". Lineage: Eukaryota; Metazoa; Arthropoda; Insecta; Hymenoptera; Formicidae. The record is from RNAcentral.
AUUUAAAUAGCUUAUAAUAUAAAGUAUAAUAUUGAAGAUAUUAUGAAAAUAAAAUUUUUAUUUUUAGAUA